GACGAACGCUGGCGGCGUGCUUAACACAUGCAAGUCGAACGGAAAGGCCCUUCGGGGUACUCGAGUGGCGAACGGGUGAGUAACACGUGGGUGAUCUGCCCUGCACUUUGGGAUAAGCCUGGGAAACUGGGUCUAAUACCGAAUAGGACCACGCGCUUCAUGGUGUGUGGUGGAAAGCUUUUGCGGUGUGGGAUGGGCCCGCGGCCUAUCAGCUUGUUGGUGGGGUAAUGGCCUACCAAGGCGACGACGGGUAGCCGGCCUGAGAGGGUGACCGGCCACACUGCGACUGCGAUACGGCCCAGACGCCUAUGGGAGGCAGCAGUGGGGAAUAUUGCACAAUGGGCGCAAGCCUGAUGCAGCGACGCCGCGUGAGGGAUGACGGCCUUCGGGUGGUAAACCUCUUUCAAUAGGGACGAAGCGCAAGUGACGGUACCUAUAGAAGAAGCACCGGCCAACUACGUG
Molecule: ribosomal RNA, 462 nt
Filed under: uncultured bacterium
Lineage: Bacteria
Description: partial 16S ribosomal RNA
Rfam family: Bacterial small subunit ribosomal RNA
Source: RNAcentral